Molecule: non-coding RNA, 97 nt
Organism: Mycena olivaceomarginata
Lineage: Eukaryota; Fungi; Basidiomycota; Agaricomycetes; Agaricales; Mycenaceae
Source: the annotation of a GenBank genome assembly
UCUUGACUAGUAUAUCGGUUAGUACACGCGCUUGUCAUGGCUCGAUUACGUGAUCGCAUAAUCGCGCGAAAGCUGGGUUCGACUCCCAGGUCGAGAG